GCCAGGUGCGGUGGUGCGAGCCUGUAAUCCAGCUACUCCGGAGGCCAAGGCAGGCGGAUCGCUUGAGCUCAGGAGUUCUGGGCUGCAGUGGGCUAUGCCGAUCGGGUGUCCACACUAAGUUUGGUAUCAAUAUGGUGAUCCCUGGGGAGCCGAGGGCCACCAGGUUGCCUAAGGAAGGGUGAACCAGCCCAGGUCAGAGAUGGAACAGGUCCAAAAAAAAAAAGGACUGAAGUUACCAAAGGGUUGAAAGCACUAUUGUUUAAUCAAAAUCUAGCU
RNAcentral lists this signal recognition particle RNA (276 nucleotides) under Notechis scutatus (mainland tiger snake). RNAcentral's name for it is "Metazoan signal recognition particle RNA (ENSNSUG00000017770.1)". It matches the Rfam family "Metazoan signal recognition particle RNA". Rfam says of the family: The signal recognition particle (SRP) is a universally conserved ribonucleoprotein. It is involved in the co-translational targeting of proteins to membranes. The eukaryotic SRP consists of a 300-nucleotide 7S RNA and six proteins: SRPs 72, 68, 54, 19, 14, and 9. Lineage: Eukaryota; Metazoa; Chordata; Lepidosauria; Squamata; Elapidae. The record is from RNAcentral.